ACAAGCGGUGGAGCAUGUGGUUUAAUUCGAUGAUACGCGAAGGAACCUUACCUGGGCUCAAAUGUAUGUUGACGUAUUCUGAAAGGGAUACUUCUUCGGACAAUAUACAAGGUGCUGCAUGGUUGUCGUCAGCUCGUGCCGUGAGGUGUCGGGUUAAGUCCCAUAACGAGCGCAACCCCUACCUUUAGUUGCCAUCAGGUUAAGCUGGGGACUCUAAAGGAACUGCCUACGCAAGUAGUGAGGAAGGCGGGGAUGACGUCAAAUCAGCACGGCCCUUACGUCCAGGGCUACACACGUGCUACAAUGGCCGAUACAGAGGGCAGCUACCUGGUGACAGGAUGCAAAUCUCCAAAGUCGGUCUCAGUUCGGAUCGGAGUCUGCAACCCGACUCCGUGAAGUUGGAUUCGCUAGUAAUCGCGCAUCAGCCAUGGCGCGGUGAAUACGUUCCCGGGCCUU
This 456-nucleotide ribosomal RNA is filed under the name uncultured Sphingobacteriales bacterium. Its description in RNAcentral is "bacterial SSU rRNA". It matches the Rfam family "Bacterial small subunit ribosomal RNA", at positions 925 to 1382 of the family's 1533-position model. The record is from RNAcentral. Lineage: Bacteria; Pseudomonadati; Bacteroidota; Sphingobacteriia; Sphingobacteriales.